RNAcentral lists this unclassified non-coding RNA (1443 nucleotides) under Hevea brasiliensis (rubber tree). The record is from RNAcentral. Lineage: Eukaryota; Viridiplantae; Streptophyta; Magnoliopsida; Malpighiales; Euphorbiaceae.
AUCUUUUAUUUUUUUUUAAAUAAAAAAUAAUAAAAAAUAUAAAAAUAUAUGUUUUAAUAAUAAUAUUUCCUGUAAAAUAGACCGAGAUUUAAUUUGAAUAAAUACAUCUAACUUUGGUACGUUACACAUUGACAUGAUAAAGAAAAUGAUAAAAAAUAUUUGAAAAUAUAUAAAAAAAUUAUAUAUUUUUUUCAAAUUUCGCAUUUUUUAAUUGAUUUAGUCAGUGUCAUAUCAUGUCUGAUGUUUGCAAAAAGAUAGCUUGCCAGAGCUUAGGUUGCAAACGAUGAUUCUCAGCCAUUAACUAAGUUAAUCAUUCAAUUGUCAGCCGGCCUCUUCCCAAUCAUUCAAGUCUUAUAUAUCAUGUCUCAUGUCUUAUUGGUCUUUUUCAUUCUUAAAAGAGUUUUAUGUCUACUUAUUUUUUUGUAAAAUUUAUUAUUUUUUCAAUCUUCAUUGAUUAAAAAAAUUUCAGCUGCUUCUUAAUCACUCAAUUUUAGAAGUCAUAACAUCGUUAAUCACAGUAAUUAAUUAUAGGUAGUCUCUAUCUCUUCAAAUUAUUUAACCUUUCAACUAACUCUCAAUAUGAAGAUAAUGUUCAUGUGGGUUUGGUGAUAGAGGUCUAAUUCUGCAAUCUUUUUUUAUUAUUCUGGUCUUUUCACAUUAUAAAAAUAAUUAAUAUUAUAUUAAUAAUUUUUACAAGAAAAAGAAACUUAAUUAAUUAGAAAGGACAACUACUUGUAUAAUAUUGAAGAAAAUGGUUUUUCUUUUUUAAUUUCUCAUGUUAAUCAGAAAGUUACAAAGAAUUCCCAUUUCAUGUGAAAUAAGAAUGAAAUCAAUAGGUGUGAUGAAUAUUUGGAAAUGGCAGGUGGAUGAAUCUCUUAGGGCAGAGGAAGUGGAGGUUUACUAUGAGCCUGCAGAAUUAUUUGGUGGCCUAUUGAAAGGACAAUCCAUUUCAGAAUCUCAAUCACAAGAUGACACUACAAGAAUUCCAACACCAACUCAUGCCUGUCCAUUCUCCAACUAAUCCUAUCCAUUCUUUCACUUGUUUCUCUUCCAUUUUAAUUUUCAGCAGUAUAUUUCAUCUAUCUAUAUAUAAACGUUUUAAAACAAUAUAUAAUGCCAUAGUUGCUGUCACAAACUUGCAGUGUGCUGGUCAGCUGGUUUGUUAUUUUUCUUUCGUGAAGCUCUUGGGUUUUGUUGUUUUAUUGGCAUUCUAGGGCCGCUUAGUUGGAAUUAAUCAUUGGAGCUUGGUUUGGGUCUGAUGCUAUCCUCUUCAUCUGCUGCAAUGUAUUUGGUCUCGAGUGCUGUUUUCUGUUCUGAAAUUGAGCAGCCCUGUAUUUCUUUGGAUUUGUGUCUUGGUUGUUUUGGUGUAUUGUUCUCCUGACAGGUUUUUCCUGUCCUUCAUUUAAUAAAAUCUAUUACAUAUAAAAAAACAAUUUAACACCA